AGCUUUGUGCGCUGGCAGCAUCGUAGCCAAUGAGGUUUAUCCGAGUCACAAUUAUUGCUAAUUGGAAUUAGAUACUGUCAUGCCAGUUUGGGUAUAAUGGAUAGGUUUAGGGUUAGAGUUGUGUCUAGGGGCAAAUAUAGGGUGUCAGUUCAUGUACCUGAAUUUUGAUUCAUGCAUAUCAUCUUCAGAGUUAUGA
Heterocephalus glaber (naked mole-rat) is the source of this 196-nucleotide small nuclear RNA. Its record names the gene U4. It matches the Rfam family "U4 spliceosomal RNA". From Rfam's summary of the family: U4 small nuclear RNA (U4 snRNA) is a component of the major U2-dependent spliceosome. Lineage: Eukaryota; Metazoa; Chordata; Mammalia; Rodentia; Bathyergidae. The record is from Ensembl.